CCUANGGGGGGCUGCAGUGGGGAAUCUUGCACAAUGGGCGAAAGCCUGAUGCAGCGACGCCGCGUGGAGGAUGAAGGCCUUCGGGUUGUAAACUCCUUUUGUAGGGGAAGAUAAUGACGGUACCCUGCGAAUAAGCCACGGCUAACUCUGUGCCAGCAGCCGCGGUAAGACAGAGGUGGCAAGCGUUGUUCGGAAUUACUGGGCUUAAAGGGCGAGUAGGCGGUGGAGCAAGUCUGAGGUGGAAUCCUAUGGCUUAACCAUAGAACUGCCUUAGAAACUGUUUUACUUGAGUCAGUGAGGGGAGGGCGGAAUUCCUGGUGUAGCGGUGAAAUGCGUAGAUAUCAGGAGGAAGGCCUGUGGCGAAAGCGGCCCUCUGGCACUGUACUGACGCUGAGGCGCGAAAGCGUGGGGAGCAAACAGGAUUAGAUACCCCGNUANUC
RNAcentral lists this ribosomal RNA (440 nucleotides) under uncultured bacterium. Its description in RNAcentral is "bacterial SSU rRNA". It matches the Rfam family "Bacterial small subunit ribosomal RNA", at positions 338 to 795 of the family's 1533-position model. The record is from RNAcentral.